GAUGAACGCUGGCGGCGUGCUUAACACAUGCAAGUCGAACGGAAAGGCUCCUGCUUGCAGGGGUACUCGAGUGGCGAACGGGUGAGUAACACGUGGGUGAUCUGCCCUCACUUUGGGAUAAGGCUGGGGAACUGGGUCUAAUACCGGAAAGGACGAUGGUUUGGGUGGCAAUGUGGGAAGUUUUUCGGGGUGGGAUGAGCUCGCGGCCUAUCAGCUUGUUGGUGGGGUAAUGGCCUACCAAGGCGUCGACGGGUAGCCGGCCUGAGAGGGUGUACGGCCACAUUGGGACUGAGAUACGGCCCAGACUCCUACGGGAGGCAGCAGUGGGGAAUAUUGCACAAUGGGCGCAAGCCUGAUGCAGCGACGCCGCGUGGGGGAUGACGGCCUUCGGGUUGUAAACUCCUUUCGCUAGGGACGAAGCGCAAGUGACGGUACCUGGAGAAGAAGCACCGGCUAACUACGUG
This 464-nucleotide ribosomal RNA is filed under the name uncultured bacterium. Its description in RNAcentral is "partial 16S ribosomal RNA". It matches the Rfam family "Bacterial small subunit ribosomal RNA", at positions 28 to 507 of the family's 1533-position model. The record is from RNAcentral.